AGAGUUUGAUACUGGCUCAGAAUGAACGCUGGCGGCGUGCUUAACACAUGCAAGUCGUGCGCGAAAGCCCCUUCGGCCGCUGGAGAGCGGCGAACGGGUGAGUAACACGUGGGUAACCUGCCUUGGAGUGGGGGAUAACCUGGGGAAACUCGGGCUAAUACCGCAUUCGUUGGUCGGAUCAUGGUCCGAUCAAGAAAGCUGGCCUCUGCUUGCAAGCUAGCGCUCCGAGAGGGGCCCGCGGCUGAUUAGCUAGUUGGUGGGGUAAUGGCCCACCAAGGCGACGAUCAGUAGCCGGCCUGAGAGGGUGAUCGGCCACACUGGGACUGAGACACGGCCCAGACAACUACGGGAGGCAGCAGUGGGGAAUAUUGGACAAUGGGCGCAAGCCUGAUCCAGCAACGCCGCGUGGAGGAAGAAGGCCUUCGGGUCGUAAACUCCUGUCAGAUGGGACGUAAAAGCACCGGCAAAUAGUCGGCGCCCUUGACGGUACCAUCAGAGGAAGGCCCGGCUAACUCCGUGCCAGCAGCCGCGGUAAUACGGAGGGGGCUAGCGUUAUUCGGAAUCAUUGGGCGUAAAGGGCGCGUAGGCGGCGACGCAAGUCAAAGGUGAAAUCCCUCGGCUCAACCGAGGAAUUGCCUCUGAAACUGCGUCGCUCGAAGCCGGGAGGGGGUAGCGGAAUUCCCAGUGUAGCGGUGAAAUGCGUAGAUAUUGGGAGGAACACCAGUGGCGAAGGCGGCUACCUGGACCGGUUCUGACGCUGAGGCGCGAAAGCGUGGGGAGCAAACAGGAUUAGAUACCCUGGUAGUCCACGCUGUAAACGAUGGGUGCUCGGUGUCGCGGGUAUCGACCCCUGCGGUGCCUUAGCUAACGCGUUAAGCACCCC
Molecule: ribosomal RNA, 883 nt
Filed under: uncultured bacterium
Lineage: Bacteria
Description: bacterial SSU rRNA
Rfam family: Bacterial small subunit ribosomal RNA
Source: RNAcentral